UCUCUCUCUCUCUCUCUCUCUCUCUCUCUCUCUCUCACACACACACACACACACGGGGGGGGGGGGAGAGAGAGAGAGAGAGAGAGAGAGAGA
Non-coding RNA from Podarcis lilfordi (Lilford's wall lizard), 93 nucleotides. NCBI's taxonomy places the organism in Eukaryota, Metazoa, Chordata, Lepidosauria, Squamata, Lacertidae. The record is from the annotation of a GenBank genome assembly.